AUGCCGACCGAGCUGAAGCGCGCUGCGGAGGAUGGUGAUGAUUCCACUUCCACCUGUCUUCGCCGGAAAAUUGUAGUUCCAGAAAAGCCGGUCUAUCUGGUGGUGGAGCACAAGGCGGAGCCAGUGUACUCCAUCCUCAGUGGGUCCUGGAUCGUUGGCGUGGGCGGGGACGAGCAGAUUCACACCACCAUCUUCGAUGUCACGGCCUCCAAGGAGUGGCAGGGCCCGUGGCUCCAUACCAAUAAGAUGGAGCCCAUCCUGAUUGCACACCGCGGCCAGCUCUACGUGCUCUCGAGCCGCUCCUCCGUGAAGAGAGGGGACGGCCGCCCUAACCAAGCUGAGGUUUGCCUAGAACUCGAGCCGCCGCCCAUCUUUUCGUGCCGCAUCACCCCGCCUGAGUACAUGAACCCGCCAGCUAUACGUGUUGCCUCCUACGCCAUGGUUGACUCCCAUAUUUUGCUCUCCAUGCAACUGGACAAUGUGACCAGCCCCGACAAGGUUGCCAGGAAAUACAGGAAAUACAUGGGAACCUACGGGUACGACAUGGAGAAGAAGGUGUGGGAGAUGGUGCAUGAGAUGAAUCUUCCUUACCUUGGCCAGGCGGUGCCCCUCGGCGACCAACUCUUUCUUGCCCGCUCCAAAGAGAGGGACGGCGCUUAUGCAGUGUACUACAUGCAUGUCGGUCAGUCAACAUCUGGGACCAGCGAGCUGUCCAUUAUUGAGGUUCCGCUGGUGGUGCCAAAGGCCCGACCUAUUCUGGGGGAACUUCUCGUCCCUUUGGGAAGGGGCCGGUUCUCUUCUGUUCACUUUCGAUCUGUCGAUGCUGAACCAGAGUCCAAGUUCAGCAAACCAAGUGAUGUACAUGGCACCUACUCUAUUGUGAAAGAAAAUUUCGAUGAUGCUAUAAUAAUGAAGCAGCAGUGGCAAGUUUAA
Molecule: ribosomal RNA, 933 nt
Filed under: Triticum aestivum (bread wheat)
Lineage: Eukaryota; Viridiplantae; Streptophyta; Magnoliopsida; Poales; Poaceae
Description: partial small subunit ribosomal RNA
Source: RNAcentral